UGUUAGUUAGUUUAAAUAAAAUGAAUGAUUUCGACUCAUUAGAUUAUGGUUAUACCCAUAACUAUCAC
Echinops telfairi (small Madagascar hedgehog) is the source of this 68-nucleotide non-coding RNA. The record is from Ensembl. NCBI's taxonomy places the organism in Eukaryota, Metazoa, Chordata, Mammalia, Afrosoricida, Tenrecidae.